AACGAACGCUGGCGGCAUGCCUAACACAUGCAAGUCGAACGGGACCUUCGGGUCUGGUGGCGCACGGGUGCGUAGCGCGGGGGAAGCUGCCGGUAGGUUCGGAAUACCACCCUGACGGGGGGGCUAAUGCAGGAUAAUGUAUUCUGACAAAAGAUUUAUCGUGUUUGUAUGGGCCCGCGUUGUAUUAGCUUGUUGGUAGUGUAAAAGCCUACCAAGGCGACGAUCCAUAGCUGGGCUGUGAGGAUGAUCAGCCACACUGGGACUGAGACACGGCCCAGACUCCUACGCGAGGCAGCAGUGCGGAAUAUUGGACAAUGGGGGAAAGCCUGAUCCAGCAAUGCCGCGUGAGUGAUGAAGGCCUUAGGGUUGUAAAGCUCGUUUACCCGGGACGAUAAUGACGGUACCGGAAGAAUAAGCACCGGCUAACUCCGUG
RNAcentral lists this ribosomal RNA (433 nucleotides) under uncultured bacterium. Its description in RNAcentral is "partial 16S ribosomal RNA". It matches the Rfam family "Bacterial small subunit ribosomal RNA", at positions 29 to 507 of the family's 1533-position model. The record is from RNAcentral.